AUUGAACGCUGGCGGAAUGCUUUACACAUGCAAGUCGAACGGCAGCACGGACUUCGGUCUGGUGGCGAGUGGCGAACGGGUGAGUAAUGUAUCGGAACGUGCCCAGUCGUGGGGGAUAACGUAGUGAAAAUUACGCUAAUACCGCAUACGAUCUAUGGAUGAAAGCGGGGGAUCGCAAGACCUCGCGCGAUUGGAGCGGCCGAUAUCAGAUUAGAUAGUUGGUGGGGUAAAGGCCCACCAAGCCAACGAUCUGUAGCUGGUCUGAGAGGACGACCAGACACACUGGAACUGAGACACGGUCCAGACUCCUACGGGAGGCAGCAGUGGGGAAUUUUGGACAAUGGGCGAAAGCCUGAUCCAGCCAUUCCGCGUGCAGGAUGAAGGCCCUCGGGUUGUAAGCUGCUUUUGUACAGAACGAAAAGGUUUCUACUAAUACUAGGAGCUCAUGACGGUACUGUAAGAAUAAGCACCGGCUAACUACGUGCCAGCCGCCGCAGUAA
This 500-nucleotide ribosomal RNA is filed under the name uncultured bacterium. Its description in RNAcentral is "partial 16S ribosomal RNA". It matches the Rfam family "Bacterial small subunit ribosomal RNA", at positions 30 to 523 of the family's 1533-position model. The record is from RNAcentral.